AAAGUCGUAACAAGGUCUCCGUUGGUGAACCAGCGGAGGGAUCAUUACCGAGUUUACAACUCCCACAUCCCCUGUGAACUUUAUACUCUUGUUGCUUCGGCGGGUUUUCAUUUCGCCCCGGAUGGAGGCCCGAGAGGGUCGACGAACCGGAUCCAGGCGCCCGCCGGGGAACUCUCCAAACUCUUGUACUUUAUAGCAUGUCUGAGUGGAAUCAUAUCAAAUGAAUCAAAACUUUCAACAACGGAUCUCUUGGUUCUG
RNAcentral lists this unclassified non-coding RNA (258 nucleotides) under Ascomycota sp. Its description in RNAcentral is "partial contains small subunit ribosomal RNA, internal transcribed spacer 1, and 5.8S ribosomal RNA". The stretch from base 1 to 47 matches the Rfam family "Eukaryotic small subunit ribosomal RNA", at positions 1785 to 1831 of the family's 1831-position model. Lineage: Eukaryota; Fungi; Ascomycota. The record is from RNAcentral.